ACUUUUUUUUUUUUUUCAUUUUUAGGGCUGCACUUGUGGCAUAUGGAAGUUCCCAGGCUAGGCAUCAAAUCAGAGCUGUAGCUGCCAGCCUCACCACUGCCGCAGCAAUGCGGGAUCCAAGCUGUGCCUGCAACCUAUACCAUGGUUCAUGGGCAAUGCUGGAUCCUUAAUCCACUGAGCAAGGCCAGGGAUUGAACCCACAUCCUCAUGGAUACUAGUUGGGUUCUUAACCUGCUGAGCUACAACGGGAUCUCCUAAAAUUAUAAAACUCUUAGGAAAAAAGCACAGGAGAAAAUCUUUGGUAUCUAGGACUUGGCAAAACAUUCUGAAACUUGACACCAAAAGUAUGAUCUAUAUAAAACAAAAAUUUUGAUAAAUUGGGCUUCAUCAAAGCUAAAAUAUUACUCUGUAAAAGACCUUGGUAAGAGGAUGAAAGAAAAACUAGACUGAGAGGAAAUAUUUGCAAACCACAUAUUCAAAUAAAGCACUAGUAUCUACAAUAUGAAAAGAACUCUCAAAGCUCAAAAGUAAAAAAGCAAACAGCUCAUUUAGAAUAUCAGCAAAAUGUUGGAAAAGAGUCUGACGAAGAAUGGAUGUAUAUGUAUACUGAAUCACUUUGUUGUACAGCAGAAAUUAUCACAACAUUGUAAAUCAACUAUACUUCAAUAACACUUUAAAAUUGAAAAAAAAUCAGCAAAUACAUAAAAUUUUUUUUUACCAAAUAAUAUACAACUGUCAAAAGAAAAGUAAAUGAAAAGAUGUUGACAUCAUUAGCCAUUAGGGAAAUGCAGAUUGAAACUUCAAUACGAUACCACUACACAUCUAUUACAAUGACUAAAAUAAAAAAUAAUGACAACAUCAAAAGCUCACAAGGAUGCAGAAAAAUGAAUCACCCAUACACUGCUGGUGAGAAUACUAAGCGGUUCAUUAACUCUGGAAAAUAAUUUGACAAUUUCUUAAAAAAUGAAAUGUAUGGCUACUGUGCAACCACGUAAUCCAUCUCUUGAGUAUCCCAGAGAAAUGAAAAGCGUGUUCACAAAAAAAUAUAAUAAUAAUUUUACACGAAUGUUUAUUAGCAACUUCAUACACAACAGCUCCAAACUGGAAACAACCGUUCAACAGGUGAACGGUUAAACAAUGACAAUUUAUGCCAUGGAAUAUUACUCUGUAGUAAAAACAACAACCUUUUGGUACUCACAACAACCUGGAUGAGUUGCCAAAGAAUUAUGCUGAGUGGAAAAAAGCCAAUCUCAAAUGUUAUAUAUUAUAUGAUUCCACUGAAAUGACAUACUUACAGAUGUGGACUAUAAACCAGCGGCUGCCAGGAGUUAAGGAGAGGGGCAGGUAUCAGGAGGAAAACGGCUUUGUCUGUAAAAGAAAACUUGAGGGAUCCUUGUGCUCACAGAAAAGAUGGAAUGUUCUGCAUCUCGACUGUAUCAAUGUCAAUAUCCUGGUUGUGAUUUUGUACUGUGGCUUUGUAAGAUACCGAGUAAAGGGUAGUUCUAACAAAUGCCUGUGAGUCUACAAGUAUUUCAAAAUAAAAGGUUUAGUUGAAAGAAGUCAUAUUAAUCUCUUUUAUAAUGUUACUGUUUAUUCUAAGUGAGAUCAUCUUGGUUCCCUGAUAACUUUUAUUUUUAUUUAUUUAUUUAUUUAUUUUGUCUUUUUGCUAUGUCUUGGGCUGCUCCCGCGGCAUAUGGAGAUGGCAAAAAGACAAUAAUAAUAAUAAUAAUCUUUCUUCUGCUUGGAGAAGCUGAGAAGUUGUCACAUACAAUAAUGCAGCAGGAAAGUUUAUAAAAACCCAAAUUCCAACUUGGACCAGAGAUCAACUAAGUGGGAGCUUCUCUACUAUCUCUUGCUGGUUGUGUACGUGCUUCUCCCGUCUGGGUGCAGACCCUUAUAGGAGCUAAGUGAGCUGGAUGUAAACCAGAGCAUUUUUAGGACAUCAUCAACAGUAUACCUUCUUUUGAUUUAUGUUUCUAAGGCUCAAUUUAGGGAACCCGGGUUUGGUUUCUUUUGUUAUUGUUUAUUGUUAAUUUUUAUCUCUUGUUGCUUGGCUUUUAGUUUUUGACCUGUGUCCCUAUUAAAUGUUAAUAUCUCUUGUGAUAAUGAUAAGAGUGAAAAUACUAACUGGAUCCUAAGAGAUGUAAUGAUUAAUGACAAUCAAAUCAGUAGAAGUUCAUCUAUAUUGCAGCUAGCUGCUAGAUGGCUAAAUUAAGAUAUAAUUAGAUAGAUAUUUAUAGGUUAGACAUUAAUUGGUCCUUCAUUAAAUGUUCCAUAUUAUAUAGCUUAAUGAAGAUGAAUAAGACAUAAUUUCUUUUCUUUGAAGAGCUCACAGACCAGAAGACAGACACAUAAAAACAAUUACAACAGUGUAAUAAAAGCUUAACCGUGGUGUGGUCAUAGUGUUAUGGAAACAUACAGAAAGGAGAAACUGGCUCAACCUGUACGUGGUGGCUAGUUGGUAAGAGUCAGAAUCCUGUGCUUUUCAAAAGAAUCUGAGCUUGUUUCCCAGCUCCAAAGUGGUCUCUUCACUUAACUGUGAGAAAUUUAGGACACCAUACGGCUUAAAAAUUAGGAUCUGGCAUUUCUAGUGUAUGUGCUAUACUUUAACCUGCCUGAGGUCCAACUAUUUCCAGGUUCUUCUCUGAGGAUCAGUGGGUGAGGGAAAGAGCUCAGAAUUUGCAGCCAGACUCCCUGAAUUCAAGUCUCAGUUCUACUACUUAUUAAGUCGCUUAACCUCUCUAGACUUGACUCUCCCCAGUGGGAAUGGAAGAAAUAAUGAUACACUUAUCCUUCAAUAAUUAACGAAACAACCCAUGAACUUAGAUGGUAUAGCAUUUACUUCACUGCAUUCUUAUCCUAUUUCUUUCGAACAUUUAUAUAACCUUUAGCUGUGUAAUAAUAACACACUCAGUUGUCUAACAAUGGGGAUCCACAAUUGGUUUGAAUUUCCAUCCACUGUAUAAGAUAAAUUUUAAGUUCCUCAAAAUUCUUAUGCACCUUUUCAUGACUCCAUGCAAUGUUCUAAAACAUGCAUACCUACAUACAUAUUUGAUCAGAAGCAAAUAAAUUGAAAGUUGUAGUAGUUAGAAUCCUGGCAGGAAAUGGAUAGCAUACCACACUUGGGUAAUUUGAAGAGAGUUAAUGAAAGGGAUUAUUGACAGAUAUGUGGGGAAGGUGUAGGACAACCAUAGGGCAUAGUGUGGCACCCCAGGUUGAGUAAUGGCAGGAAACUGUUGCCAUGUUCAACCUGAAGGGCAAGGGGAGGGAGCAGUUAUGCAAAUUCAGAGGAGGCCACUUGAUAGGAGCUGUGAUCUGCGAUAGGCCCACAAGAACCUAGCAGAAAGUGAUCGAGGGGAAAGAUACUCUAAUCUCCCUCUCUUCUUUUUGUGAUAUUCUACCAGAUUCCUCCUACCAUUAGCCAAACCCAACAGAAAGCCAGACAUCAAGGGAAUCACUGAGGCCAUGCACACAGGUCAGCUUCCCGGAGCAGGGCUGAGAUGAGUAGAGAGUAGUUCUGGAAGGCAAGCAGUAAGAGCUAACAUGGAAGACUAUUUUAUGGUGAAAUUCUAUUGCAAUAACGAAACAAAAAACAUACUCAAGACUGGCUGACAACUUGUCCCUAACUGGCCUCUUAGACUGAAUUCAAACCUAGAGAAAGAUUUUCUUUUUUUUUUUUUUUUU
RNAcentral lists this long non-coding RNA (3684 nucleotides) under Sus scrofa (pig). RNAcentral describes it as "lncRNA (ENSSSCG00025044775.1)". The record is from RNAcentral. Lineage: Eukaryota; Metazoa; Chordata; Mammalia; Artiodactyla; Suidae.